Molecule: ribosomal RNA, 425 nt
Filed under: uncultured Clostridium sp.
Lineage: Bacteria; Bacillati; Bacillota; Clostridia; Eubacteriales; Clostridiaceae
Description: bacterial SSU rRNA
Rfam family: Bacterial small subunit ribosomal RNA
Source: RNAcentral
UGGGGAAUAUUGCACAAUGGGGGAAACCCUGAUGCAGCGACGCCGCGUGAGUGAAGAAGUAUUUCGGUAUGUAAAGCUCUAUCAGCAGGGAAGAAACAAUGACGGUACCUGACUAAGAAGCCCCGGCUAACUACGUGCCAGCAGCCGCGGUAAUACGUAGGUGGCAAGCGUUGUCCGGAUUUACUGGGUGUAAAGGGCGUGUAGGCGGGUAGGUAAGUCAGAUGUGAAAAUACCGGGGCUCAACCCCGGGGCUGCAUUUGAAACUGCGUAUCUUGAGUAUCGGAGAGGAAAGCGGAAUUCCUAGUGUAGCGGUGAAAUGCGUAGAUAUUAGGAGGAACACCGGUGGCGAAGGCGGCUUUCUGGACGACAACUGACGCUGAGGCGCGAAAGCGUGGGUAGCAAACAGGAUUAGAUACCCUGGUAGU